UUUGGACUUUUGAAUGAAAUU
Molecule: non-coding RNA, 21 nt
Filed under: Caenorhabditis elegans
Lineage: Eukaryota; Metazoa; Nematoda; Chromadorea; Rhabditida; Rhabditidae
Source: RNAcentral